CAAGGUCUCGACGUGGGUCGCGAAACCCGAAGUGCAUGCCGAGGUGCAUGAUUCCUCGUUAAACUGUCUUGCAACAACGCUAGUUGCGAACGAUAGUAACUACGCCCUAGCCGCCUAAUCCCGGCUAGCCGUUGACUGGAGCCGUGCUUGUGCGUCCAGGCCCUUCGAGGGCGUUCAACGGUCGUGUCUCACAAGAUCGUGGUGUGAUGCAUCCGGCGUCAAACCACUAAAACAUACCGGACUCGCCGUCUGUUUUCCCUGCCCGUCGGGUAGCAGGCGGUUAAAUCAAAGACGUGUGCUACGCAUGUAGAGCUGAGGGUGGAGCACUUGCGGACGCGGGUUCGAUCA
RNAcentral lists this transfer-messenger RNA (348 nucleotides) under Gammaproteobacteria bacterium. It matches the Rfam family "transfer-messenger RNA". Rfam says of the family: Bacterial tmRNA, also known as 10Sa RNA or SsrA, is named for its dual tRNA and mRNA-like properties. Its role is to liberate the mRNA from a stalled ribosome. The record is from RNAcentral. Lineage: Bacteria; Pseudomonadati; Pseudomonadota; Gammaproteobacteria.